AUGAGAAUCCUCUCUUUGAUUAUCGUUCUGUUGUUAGUCAAGAAGAUCCUACUUCAUAUGACAUCAAAUAUCUCACAAGACUCAAUUCAAUCAUGUUGUUGUAUAAAUUAUCAAUGCAACUUACAGAAGAAAAUCCUUGAAACAUGCAAAGUAAAGCAAGCUUCACUACAAUGUAAAGCAAGCAAAGGCCAACUCAUAUUAUUGUUCUUCUUCAUGUAA
Molecule: non-coding RNA, 219 nt
Organism: Vicia faba (fava bean)
Lineage: Eukaryota; Viridiplantae; Streptophyta; Magnoliopsida; Fabales; Fabaceae
Source: the annotation of a GenBank genome assembly